Molecule: small RNA, 206 nt
Filed under: Escherichia phage HK639
Lineage: Duplodnaviria; Heunggongvirae; Uroviricota; Caudoviricetes
Description: Gammaproteobacterial sRNA STnc100
Rfam family: Gammaproteobacterial sRNA STnc100
Source: Rfam by way of RNAcentral
ACUGCAGGAAUAAGUUCGGCGUAAUUUAUUUCUGUGGUGAAUCCUUUCUAAGCGAAAGGGCGUUCCAGCCAACUGCUAUCUGCAGGUAUGCGCGCGACUUUGCUGGCUGGAGUAGAGUCACCGGGAGGCACCCGGCACCAUGACAACAACAAUACAGUUUCAAAUUCCUUGAGAGCCUGCCGUAAAAAGCAGGCCUUUUUUUAUGA